GUUUUUUUUUUUUUUUUUUUUUUUAUUUUUUUUUUUUUUUUUUUUUUGCGGAUUCACGGAUUUCUACAGAUUUACAGAAGUAAAUCCAUAUCCAAUCCAUUGACUGCGGAUUUUUAAAUUUUCAAUCCAUCCAAUCCACCAAUCCACGGAUCGGAUUCAGCGGAUCGGACGGAUUCAGCGGAUCGGAUUGGAUUCUGAACACCCCUACUCGUUGGUGCUUUCAAGUAUUUAUUAUAAAUAAUUGCAAAGCCAAUUAUUUAUUAUCUAUAAUGAAACUGAAAUUUCUCUCCGCAUGAAAAUAGAGUGAAAGCGAGGAAAGAG
This 321-nucleotide long non-coding RNA is filed under the name Citrus sinensis (sweet orange). Its description in RNAcentral is "long non-coding RNA (CSIN_LNC005406)". The record is from RNAcentral. Lineage: Eukaryota; Viridiplantae; Streptophyta; Magnoliopsida; Sapindales; Rutaceae.